Molecule: ribosomal RNA, 1551 nt
Filed under: Staphylococcus haemolyticus
Lineage: Bacteria; Bacillati; Bacillota; Bacilli; Caryophanales; Staphylococcaceae
Description: bacterial SSU rRNA
Rfam family: Bacterial small subunit ribosomal RNA
Source: RNAcentral
UUUAUGGAGAGUUUGAUCCUGGCUCAGGAUGAACGCUGGCGGCGUGCCUAAUACAUGCAAGUCGAGCGAACAGACAAGGAGCUUGCUCCUUUGACGUUAGCGGCGGACGGGUGAGUAACACGUGGGUAACCUACCUAUAAGACUGGGAUAACUUCGGGAAACCGGAGCUAAUACCGGAUAAUAUUUCGAACCGCAUGGUUCGAUAGUGAAAGAUGGUUUUGCUAUCACUUAUAGAUGGACCCGCGCCGUAUUAGCUAGUUGGUAAGGUAACGGCUUACCAAGGCGACGAUACGUAGCCGACCUGAGAGGGUGAUCGGCCACACUGGAACUGAGACACGGUCCAGACUCCUACGGGAGGCAGCAGUAGGGAAUCUUCCGCAAUGGGCGAAAGCCUGACGGAGCAACGCCGCGUGAGUGAUGAAGGUCUUCGGAUUGUAAAACUCUGUUAUUAGGGAAGAACAUACGUGUAAGUAACUAUGCACGUCUUGACGGUACCUAAUCAGAAAGCCACGGCUAACUACGUGCCAGCAGCCGCGGUAAUACGUAGGUGGCAAGCGUUAUCCGGAAUUAUUGGGCGUAAAGCGCGCGUAGGCGGUUUUUUAAGUCUGAUGUGAAAGCCCACGGCUCAACCGUGGAGGGUCAUUGGAAACUGGAAAACUUGAGUGCAGAAGAGGAAAGUGGAAUUCCAUGUGUAGCGGUGAAAUGCGCAGAGAUAUGGAGGAACACCAGUGGCGAAGGCGACUUUCUGGUCUGUAACUGACGCUGAUGUGCGAAAGCGUGGGGAUCAAACAGGAUUAGAUACCCUGGUAGUCCACGCCGUAAACGAUGAGUGCUAAGUGUUAGGGGGUUUCCGCCCCUUAGUGCUGCAGCUAACGCAUUAAGCACUCCGCCUGGGGAGUACGACCGCAAGGUUGAAACUCAAAGGAAUUGACGGGGACCCGCACAAGCGGUGGAGCAUGUGGUUUAAUUCGAAGCAACGCGAAGAACCUUACCAAAUCUUGACAUCCUUUGACAACUCUAGAGAUAGAGCCUUCCCCUUCGGGGGACAAAGUGACAGGUGGUGCAUGGUUGUCGUCAGCUCGUGUCGUGAGAUGUUGGGUUAAGUCCCGCAACGAGCGCAACCCUUAAGCUUAGUUGCCAUCAUUAAGUUGGGCACUCUAAGUUGACUGCCGGUGACAAACCGGAGGAAGGUGGGGAUGACGUCAAAUCAUCAUGCCCCUUAUGAUUUGGGCUACACACGUGCUACAAUGGACAAUACAAAGGGCAGCGAAACCGCGAGGUCAAGCAAAUCCCAUAAAGUUGUUCUCAGUUCGGAUUGUAGUCUGCAACUCGACUACAUGAAGCUGGAAUCGCUAGUAAUCGUAGAUCAGCAUGCUACGGUGAAUACGUUCCCGGGUCUUGUACACACCGCCCGUCACACCACGAGAGUUUGUAACACCCGAAGCCGGUGGAGUAACCAUUUGGAGCUAGCCGUCGAAGGUGGGACAAAUGAUUGGGGUGAAGUCGUAACAAGGUAGCCGUAUCGGAAGGUGCGGCUGGAUCACCUCCUUU